UACGUAGGGUGCGAGCGUUAAUCGGAAUUACUGGGCGUAAAGCGUGCGCAGGCGGUUUUGUAAGCCAGAUGUGAAAUCCCCGGGCUUAACCUGGGAAUGGCAUUUGGGACUGCAAGGCUGGAGUUUGGCAGAGGAGACUGGAAUUCCCGGUGUAGCAGUGAAAUGCGUAGAUAUCGGGAGGAACAUCAGUUGCGAAGGCGGCUCUCUGGACCAUCACUGACACUGAGGCACGAAAGCGUGGGGAGCAAACAGG
Molecule: ribosomal RNA, 253 nt
Filed under: uncultured bacterium
Lineage: Bacteria
Description: partial 16S ribosomal RNA
Rfam family: Bacterial small subunit ribosomal RNA
Source: RNAcentral